Camelus ferus (Wild Bactrian camel) is the source of this 72-nucleotide transfer RNA. It matches the Rfam family "tRNA". Rfam says of the family: Transfer RNA (tRNA) molecules are approximately 80 nucleotides in length. Their secondary structure includes four short double-helical elements and three loops (D, anti-codon, and T loops). Further hydrogen bonds mediate the characteristic L-shaped molecular structure. tRNAs have two regions of fundamental functional importance: the anti-codon, which is responsible for specific mRNA codon recognition, and the 3' end, to which the tRNAs corresponding amino acid is attached (by aminoacyl-tRNA synthetases). tRNAs cope with the degeneracy of the genetic code in two manners: having more than one tRNA (with a specific anti-codon) for a particular amino acid; and 'wobble' base-pairing, i.e. permitting non-standard base-pairing at the 3rd anti-codon position. Lineage: Eukaryota; Metazoa; Chordata; Mammalia; Artiodactyla; Camelidae. The record is from Rfam.
GAGGCUGUAGCUCAGUGGUAGAGCACAUGUUUAGCAUGUACAAGGUCCUGGAUUCAAUCCCCAGUACCUCCA